AAAAACCAUUUGGUUUUCUUUUCUAACCUCUCUCUACUUCAUCUCAUUGAGGUUUGAAUUCUAUCUCUCUCUUGAACCAUAUAAACCAAAAGUCUUAAAACACAAAAAGAAAAAAGAAAAAAGAAAAAAACCCUCUCUAUCAUUCUCUAAAAUUCACUAUUAACCAUUGACAAUCUAAUUGGGAAAUGAAAAUUCAAGAUGAAAGUCAAAGGUUUUGGCUUAGAGAUAUUACAGUAUGGGGUUGUUGCAUUUAGAUCUCCUAUUCAAGUUAAAUUUCUCUCAAUUUUGUAGAGAUCUUUAAAAAAAAGAUAAAACCAUAAGAUUUUUUUUUGUUCAUUGCAUAAAAUAUAUAUGUUUUUGUUUAAAAUAUAAACGUAUUUAUAUAUUAUUGCUUUUUGUUAGAAAAUGCUUUUUUAUUUUUUUAGUACAAAAGAAAUGAAAGAUACCACUUAUAAUCUUAAGAGCUUAGAUCUUACAACCCCUAACAUAUUGGCUUUGAAAUAUAUAGAAAUAAUAAGUAUAAUAAAGGAUUUUUUUUUAAUUUUAUGAUUUAAAAUAUAAAAAAAAUUAUCCAAUCCACAAAUCCUAAAACUUUUAAACGGCAUUAGAUGGGCUUAGAUAAUUAGGACAUGUUCAAUUAAAUUGCAAAUAAAGAAAUCAUUAUAUAUAAUUAACUAGUUUUUUUAACUGGUCCCAUGCAC
This 701-nucleotide long non-coding RNA is filed under the name Durio zibethinus. Its description in RNAcentral is "long non-coding RNA (DZIB_LNC001884)". The record is from RNAcentral. Lineage: Eukaryota; Viridiplantae; Streptophyta; Magnoliopsida; Malvales; Malvaceae.